CCCAUAAUUACCUCCCUAUACUAAACAAAGCAACAGAGGAACUAAAUAAAUGGAGCUCCCUCUACACGUUGUGGCUAGGCAGAGUAAAUGCCGUCAAGAUGACGCUACUACCGAAACUUCUCUUCAUGUUCCAAACUUCAAGACACUACAGGCAGAGGUCCGCACGUUAAUAUGGAAGGGCAAAUCCGCACGCAUAGCGCACGAUCAAUUAACC
Pelobates cultripes (western spadefoot toad) is the source of this 214-nucleotide non-coding RNA. The record is from the annotation of a GenBank genome assembly. NCBI's taxonomy places the organism in Eukaryota, Metazoa, Chordata, Amphibia, Anura, Pelobatidae.